AGAGGAAUGGCGGAGACGGCCGAUGGGAGAAAAUUUCUUGAUAUGGUGAGUUGAAUUAAUUACUCACGAGGACAAAUGUUUUCCAAAAGUAACCAAACAGAUGAAAAUUGGAAAGAAAACAAAACUUUUUCCAGAAAAAGACUUCCAAUGAAAUUAUUUUCCCAAAGAAAAUAUUUUACAUCCUACCAAACAGACCCUAAGUCAUUUAUGAACAUAUUUCUUUGUUAUUACCUAUAAUGACUAGCUGCUAGCUUGAAAUUUUAGCAAGAGACAUGGACUAGUCACAAUUUUCAUUUAUUCCUCCGUACUUCUGUUAACUACUCAGCUAUAAAUACCUCUAGAAUUAUUGCCUGCAUUUGUGACUUUUUAUGUGAGUUGGACAAAGGCAAGCCAGCAACCACACAUAACCAGAUAAAGAAAUGAGAUUAAAAAGUGGUCUAUUUACACAUCUGGGUCCCUACUAGUACAGGUCCAUACUCCACAGUAUUAAAAGUAUAUAGUGAUAAAGAUUGUGAUUAAGGACCAAAUCUUGGUAACCCACAAAUUUUCUUAAUUUUAAACUUAAUGUUUUUCAUUUUGUAUUAUAAAUAAGUAGCAAAAAUUGGAGCUAAUGUUACUUGGAGACUCUGCAACAUUGUGGAAUUCCAUUUUUUUGUUCUCAACUACCCCAUUUGAAAUACUUUUCCCCAAGAAUUCACAAUGAGGUUGGUGUCUAUUUAGGCCCCAUCUAUUGGAGCUGUCACCUCAUGAGUCAUAACUAGGUGUUGAGUACCACUUCAUUUAAUUAGGUAUGAGCUCACAUGCAAAUGGUACUCAGAACCUAUAAAAUCAAAGUCAAAAUGUAUUAAGUAAUAACUUUUAAGGCCCUGUUUGGAUUGCAAUUUUAUGUCGAAAAAUUGCGUCGUUUUCCGUGAUCACAUUUUUCUAUUAACUUUUUUCCUCAUAUACAUCAAAUCGUUAUAGUAAAUUUUUCAUGAAAAAUCAUGAAAAAUGCAAUUCAAACGGGGCCUUAGGGUACAGAUUUAAAUUAUAGAGAUUUUUCUAUUUUGUAGGAAUUAUGUUUUUGUUUGUUCACAUUAGAAAUUGGACUUCAGCCUAUGUAUCACUAAUUAUUCAUUUUCUAGAUAUGAGGUUUUAAUAGAUUACUAGCAGGCUAUGAGAAAUUAUUCUGUCUAUGAAAAAGAGCUUCAAGACUCCAACAUUGGGAAAGCCUUCGAACUUUAAAGUAGCUUAAGUGACUAAGGACCAGGGGUUGCUCAAAAAAAAAAAAAAAAAAAAAAAAGACUAUGGAUUAAAUAAACUUAACAUCUAAAUAUUUUAUUUAUGAAUAGGGAUUAAACAAAUUUACACUCUAUAUACAUUCCGAUUUUGUCAAAUUUCAAAUAAGAGCUUUUCUGUAAAUUACUAGCCCUCUGUGUACCAUUAUUAUUAUUAUUCUUAUUAUGUCAAAGUUACUAGGCAUACAAAUUGGAAUUUUCUUAUCCCGAGAAACCUUCUGUAUCCCUGAAAAGGACAUACAACAUCAUGAUGGAUCCUCCCCAAAAAAAA
This 1548-nucleotide long non-coding RNA is filed under the name Coffea arabica (coffee). RNAcentral's name for it is "long non-coding RNA (CARA_LNC000612)". Lineage: Eukaryota; Viridiplantae; Streptophyta; Magnoliopsida; Gentianales; Rubiaceae. The record is from RNAcentral.